GUAGUCAUAUGCUUGUCUCAAAGAUUAAGCCAUGCAAGUCUAAGUUUAAGCACCUAAACGGCGAAACUGCGAAUGGCUCAUUAAAUCAGUUAUCGUAUAUUUGAUAGUACCUACUACAUGGAUAACCGUGGUAAUUCUAGAGCUAAUACAUGCUUAAAAUCCCGACUUCGGAAGGGAUGUAUUUAUUAGAUUAAAAACCAAUGCCCUUCGGGGCUCACUGGUGAUUCAUAAUAACUUCUCGAAUCGCAUGGCCUUGCGCCGGCGAUGGUUCAUUCAAAUUUCUGCCCUAUCAACUUUCGACGGCUGGGUCUUGGCCAGCCGUGGUUACAACGGGUAACGGAGGGUUAGGGCUUGACCCCGGAGAAGGAGCCUGAGAAACGGCUACUACAUCCAAGGAAGGCAGCAGGCGCGCAAAUUACCCAAUCCCGACUCGGGGAGGUAGUGACAAUAAAUACUGAUACAGGGCUCUUUUGGGUCUUGUAAUUGGAAUGAGUACAAUUUAAAUCCCUUAACGAGGAACAAUUGGAGGGCAAGUCUGGUGCCAGCAGCCGCGGUAAUUCCAGCUCCAAUAGCGUAUAUUAAAGUUGUUGCAGUUAAAAAGCUCGUAGUUGAACCUUGGGCCUGGCUGGCCGGUCUGCCUCACCGCAUGCACUGGUCCGGCCGGGUCUUUCCCUCUGGGGAGCCGCAUGCCCUUCACUGGGUGUGUCGGGGAACCAGGACUUUUACUGUGAAAAAAUUAGAGUGUUCAAAGCAGGCAUAUGCUAGAAUACAUUAGCAUGGAAUAAUAGAAUAGGACGUUUGGUUCUAUUUUGUUGGUUU
This 819-nucleotide ribosomal RNA is filed under the name Phomopsis sp. E99401. Its description in RNAcentral is "SSU rRNA". It matches the Rfam family "Eukaryotic small subunit ribosomal RNA", at positions 20 to 851 of the family's 1831-position model. The record is from RNAcentral. Lineage: Eukaryota; Fungi; Ascomycota; Sordariomycetes; Diaporthales; Diaporthaceae.